GCCAGCAGCCGCGGUAAUACGGAGGGUCCGAGCGUUAAUCGGAAUUACUGGGCGUAAAGCGUGCGCAGGCGGUUUGUUAAACCAGAUGUGAAAUCCCCGGGCUCAACCUGGGAAUUGCAUUUGGAACUGGCGAACUAGAGUCUUGUAGAGGGGGGUAGAAUUCCAGGUGUAGCGGUGAAAUGCGUAGAGAUCUGGAGGAAUCCGGUGGCGAAGGCGGCCCCCUGGACAAAGACUGACG
RNAcentral lists this ribosomal RNA (238 nucleotides) under uncultured Shewanella sp. RNAcentral describes it as "partial 16S ribosomal RNA". It matches the Rfam family "Bacterial small subunit ribosomal RNA", at positions 507 to 745 of the family's 1533-position model. The record is from RNAcentral. Lineage: Bacteria; Pseudomonadati; Pseudomonadota; Gammaproteobacteria; Alteromonadales; Shewanellaceae.